This 402-nucleotide ribosomal RNA is filed under the name uncultured Altererythrobacter sp. Its description in RNAcentral is "bacterial SSU rRNA". It matches the Rfam family "Bacterial small subunit ribosomal RNA", at positions 353 to 772 of the family's 1533-position model. Lineage: Bacteria; Pseudomonadati; Pseudomonadota; Alphaproteobacteria; Sphingomonadales; Erythrobacteraceae. The record is from RNAcentral.
AGUGGGGAAUAUUGGACAAUGGGCGAAAGCCUGAUCCAGCAAUGCCGCGUGAGUGAUGAAGGCCUUAGGGUUGUAAAGCUCUUUUACCCGGGAUGAUAAUGACAGUACCGGGAGAAUAAGCCCCGGCUAACUCCGUGCCAGCAGCCGCGGUAAUACGGAGGGGGCUAGCGUUGUUCGGAAAUACUGGGCGUAAAGCGCACGUAGGCGGCCUGGCAAGUCAGGGGUGAAAUCCCGGAGCUCAACUCCGGAACUGCCCUUGAAACUGCCAAGCUAGAAUCUUGGAGAGGUCAGUGGAAUUCCGAGUGUAGAGGUGAAAUUCGUAGAUAUUCGGAAGAACACCAGUGGCGAAGGCGACUGACUGGACAAGUAUUGACGCUGAGGUGCGAAAGCGUGGGGAGCAAA